This 400-nucleotide ribosomal RNA is filed under the name uncultured bacterium. Its description in RNAcentral is "bacterial SSU rRNA". It matches the Rfam family "Bacterial small subunit ribosomal RNA", at positions 43 to 492 of the family's 1533-position model. The record is from RNAcentral.
CAGGCCUACACAUGCAAGUCGAGCGCUCGUAGCGAUAUCGAGAGCGGCAGACGGGAGGUAACAGGUGGGAACGCGCCCUUCGUGUUCGGAAUAACUCAGGGGAACUGAGCUAAUACCGGAUACGCCCUAACGGGGAAAGAUUUAUCGCCGAAGGACGGCCCGCGUCCGAUUACCUUGUUGGUGAGGUAAUGGCUCACGGAGGCGCGAUCGGUAGCUGGUCUAAGAGGAUGAUCAGUCUCACUGGGACUGACACCGGGCCACACUCCUACGGGAGGCAGGAGUGGGGAAUAUUGGACAAUGGGGCGAGCCUGAUCCAACCAUGCCGCGUGGGUGAUGAAGGCCCUACGGUUGAAAGCCCUUACAGACGGGGAACAUAAUGAUGGUACCCGGAUAAGAAGCC